Molecule: ribosomal RNA, 239 nt
Filed under: uncultured bacterium
Lineage: Bacteria
Description: partial 16S ribosomal RNA
Rfam family: Bacterial small subunit ribosomal RNA
Source: RNAcentral
CCGGCACGGGUGAGUAACACGUAUCCAACCUGCCGUCUACUCUUGGCCAGCCUUCUGAAAGGAAGAUUAAUCCAGGAUGGGAUCAUGAGUUCACAUGUCCGCAUGAUUAAAGGUAUUCUCCGGUAGACGAUGGGGAUGCGUUCCAUUAGAUAGUAGGCGGGGUAACGGCCCACCUAGUCAACGAUGGAUAGGGGUUCUGAGAGGAAGGUCCCCCACAUUGGAACUGAGACACGGUCCAA